Molecule: long non-coding RNA, 547 nt
Filed under: Macaca nemestrina (pig-tailed macaque)
Lineage: Eukaryota; Metazoa; Chordata; Mammalia; Primates; Cercopithecidae
Description: lncRNA (ENSMNEG00000045667.1)
Source: RNAcentral
CCUCACUCAAUGUCAUGUGACGGGUGGAGAUGGGGGAGCUGUGACAGUGGCAAGCACAUCCCGGCCAGGCCCAGGAGAACAUGGGCUCCGCCAGCUCACCCCCUCCACAGCCUUUCCUUCAGAAGCCUCACUGUGGACACAGACUGCAACAGGCACAGUGUUAGAACUGCCAGGUACGAGGAGCCACGCAGUCCUCUGGGCAGCAGAAACCCGAGGCUCCGUGAGAGAAGUGACCCAGGAGAGCCAGCUUUCCACACGCGUACUGGAGCCACUGGCUCCUUUUGGCCACAGGGUCACAAAUAAUUCCACAGCUGUUAAUUUUGGCAGCCACUACCCUGGAGGCAUUAUGGGCUCAUGGUAUACUAUCUUCAUUGCCACCUCGGACAAAGAUCCUAUUGGCCAAAGGCACACAAGCAUCUUCAGGAAAACUAGAUUUAAAUGGUAAGAUUAAAAAACACAGUCAUGGCUGGGCGGGGUGGCUCAUGCCUAUAAUCCCAGCACUUUGGGAGGCCAAUGCAGGCAGAUCACCAGGUCAGGAGAUCGAGAC